UGGGGAAUAUUGCACAAUGGGCGCAAGCCUGAUGCAGCCAUGCCGCGUGUAUGAAGAAGGCCUUCGGGUUGUAAAGUACUUUCAGCGGGGAGGAAGGUGUUGUGGUUAAUAACCUCAGCAAUUGACGUUACCCGCAGAAGAAGCACCGGCUAACUCCGUGCCAGCAGCCGCGGUAAUACGGAGGGGGCAAGCGUUAAUCGGAAUUACUGGGCGUAAAGCGCACGCAGGCGGUCUGUCAAGUCGGAUGUGAAAGCCCCGGGCUCAACGUGGGAACUGCAUCCGAAACUGGCAGGCUUGAGUCUUGUAGAGGGGGGUAGAAUUCCAGGUGUAGCGGUGAAAUGCGUAGAGAUCUGGAGGAAUACCGGUGGCGAAGGCGGCCCCCUGGACAAAGACUGACGCUCAGGUGCGAAAGCGUGGGGAGCAAACA
This 427-nucleotide ribosomal RNA is filed under the name uncultured bacterium. RNAcentral describes it as "partial 16S ribosomal RNA". It matches the Rfam family "Bacterial small subunit ribosomal RNA", at positions 355 to 774 of the family's 1533-position model. The record is from RNAcentral.